GCAUAUCAAUAAGCGGAGGAAAAGAAACCAACAGGGAUUACCUCAGUAACGGCGAAGUGAAGCGGUAACAGCUCAAAUUUGAAAUCUGGCAGCAAUGUCCGAAGUUGUAAUUUGUAGAGGAUGUUUCGAGCAUGGUCUGGCCUAAGUUCCUUGGAACAGGACGUCAUAGAGGGUGAGAAUCCCGUAUGCGGUCAGGUGCCUACGCUCAUGUGAAACUCCUUCGACGAGUCGAGUUGUUUGGGAAUGCAGCUCAAAAUGGGUGGUAAAUUUCAUCUAAAGCUAAAUAUUGGCCAGAGACCGAUAGCGCACAAGUAGAGUGAUCGAAAGAUGAAAAGCACUUUGGAAAGAGAGUUAAACAGUACGUGAAAUUGUUGAAAGGGAAGCGCUUGCAACCAGACUUGCACGCAGCUGAUCAUCCGCUGUUCUCAGUGGUGCACUCGGUUGCGUUCAGGCCAGCAUCGGUUUUGGUGGUGGGAUAAAGGCCUUAGGAAUGUAGCUGCUUUCGGGCAGUGUUAUAGCCUAGGGUGCAAUGCCGCCUACUGGGACCGAGGACCGCGCUUCGGCUAGGAUGCUGGCGUAAUGGUUGUAAGCGACCCGUCUUGAAACACGGACCAAGGAGUCUAACAUCUAUGCGAGUGUUUGGGUGUCAAACCCAUACGCGUAAUGAAAGUGAACGGAGGUCAGAACCCUUAAGGGUGCAUGAUCGACCGGUCCUGAAGUCUUCGGAUGGAUCUGAGUAAGAGCAUAGCUGUUGGGACCCGAAAGAUGGUGAACUAUGCCUGAAUAGGGUGAAGCCAGAGGAAACUCUGGUGGAGGCUCGCAGCGGUUCUGACGUGCAAAUCGAUCGUCAAAUUUGGGUAUAGGGGGCGAAAGACUAAUCGAACCAUCUAGUAGCUGGUUCUGCG
RNAcentral lists this ribosomal RNA (905 nucleotides) under Thelebolus microsporus. RNAcentral describes it as "LSU rRNA". It matches the Rfam family "Eukaryotic large subunit ribosomal RNA", at positions 38 to 961 of the family's 3401-position model. The record is from RNAcentral. Lineage: Eukaryota; Fungi; Ascomycota; Leotiomycetes; Thelebolales; Thelebolaceae.